GGAGGAUCCGAGCGUCUAUCCGGAAUUAUUCGGGUUUAAAGGGAGCGUAGAUGGAUGUUUAAGUCAGUUGUGAAAGUUUGCGGCUCAACCGUAAAAUUGCAGUUGAUACUGUCAGUCUUGAGUACAGUAGAGGUGGGCGGAAUUCGUGGUGUAGCGGUGAAAUGCUUAGAUAUCACGAAGAACUCCGAUUGCGAAGGCAGCUCACUGGACUGCAACUGACACUGAUGCUCGAAAGUGUGGGUAUCAAACAGGAUUAGAUACCCUGGUAGUCCACACAGUAAACGAUGAAUACUCGCUGUUUGCGAUAUACAGUAAGCGGCCAAGCGAAAGCAUUAAGUAUUCCACCUGGGGAGUACGCCGGCAACGGUGAAACUCAAAGGAAUUGACGG
This 389-nucleotide ribosomal RNA is filed under the name uncultured bacterium. Its description in RNAcentral is "bacterial SSU rRNA". It matches the Rfam family "Bacterial small subunit ribosomal RNA", at positions 527 to 916 of the family's 1533-position model. The record is from RNAcentral.